ACCAUCAUCUUUUUUGAAGACCUCUCAAAGUGUUCUCUCAAUAUUCAACCUCAAGAACACCAAGGAAAACUUGGAGGCUAAGUCUUGGUCUAGGAAGUAUUUUCCCUAAGGGAUUUUGAAAGGUUUUGAAGGAGUCAAAGCUUAUAGGAAGGUCCAAACCUUAAGCAAGAACACCAAAGAGGUAAGUGCAAGGGCAAGGCAGAGCAGUGAGCGCUGGAGUCUUCCUUGCAAAUGUACAUGUGGACCGACCUUUUGGGAAGCCUUUUUAUUUUUGGAAAUGUUGUGUAAUUUUCCUAAACUAGGCUCACUCUAAUCUUUAUAAAACAUGUUUGUAACUAAAUGUUAAGUAUGGCCAUA
Long non-coding RNA from Humulus lupulus (European hop), 357 nucleotides. RefSeq lists it as uncharacterized. Lineage: Eukaryota; Viridiplantae; Streptophyta; Magnoliopsida; Rosales; Cannabaceae. The record is from RefSeq and is a predicted model, not a curated record. The transcript has 3 exons.